RNAcentral lists this ribosomal RNA (388 nucleotides) under uncultured bacterium. RNAcentral's name for it is "bacterial SSU rRNA". It matches the Rfam family "Bacterial small subunit ribosomal RNA", at positions 28 to 408 of the family's 1533-position model. The record is from RNAcentral.
GACGAACGCUGGCGGCGCGCUUAACACAUGCAAGUCGAACGAGAAGGCGUAGCAAUACGCUUGUACAGUGGCGAACGGGUGAGUAAUACGUGGGCGACCUACCCUCGAGUGGGGAAUAACCCGCCGAAAGGCGGGCUAAUGCCGCGUACGCUUCCAUCUUUAUGGAGGUGGAAGGAAAGCCGUGCCGUGGGCACGGCGCUCAAGGAUGGGCUCACGUCCUAUCAGCUUGUUGGAGGGUAACGGCCUACCAAGGCUCCGACGGGUAGCUGGUCUGAGAGGACGAUCAGCCACACUGGCACUGCGACACGGGCCAGACUCCUACGGGAGGCAGCAGUGAGGAAUAUUGCGCAAUGGGCGAAAGCCUGACGCAGCGACGCCGCGUGGGGGA